AUGAGACCGCCGCCGUCUCCCCCUUUGCUCCCCUUACUCCUGCUUCUCGUUCUCCUCCCGUCGCCGCCGGCUGUGGCGGCAGCGGCAGGCCCCACCUCGUUGGAGGCGCUCCGCGCGGCGGCCGGCCGCAGGGCCGCGUCGCCGGCCACGCAAGAGAGGGCUGCCGCCGGGGUGCUCCGCCGGCUCCUCCCCUCCCACGCGCUCAGCUUCCGGUUCCAGAUCGACCCCAAGGGCGGCGUCUGUGGCGACUCGAGCUGCUUCAGGAUAAGCAAUGUUGACGGCUCGAGCAAGGGCGGUGCAGAGAUUCUGAUCCAGGGUAACACUGCUGUUGAGCUUGCAUCUGGGCUCCAUUGGUACCUCAAAUACUGGUGUGGGGUGCACAUUUCUUGGGAUAAGACUGGUGGUGCACAACUGGCGUCAGUCCCUUCGCCUGGGUCUCUGCCACGAGUGAAGGGAACGGGAGUCAAGGUUGAGCGCCCUGUUCCGUGGAAUUACUAUCAGAAUGUCGUCACUUCCAGCUACUCCUUUGUGUGGUGGGAUUGGAGAAGAUGGGAGAAAGAAAUUGACUGGAUGGCACUUCAAGGAAUUAACUUGCCUUUAGCGUUUACUGGACAGGAAGCUGUUUGGCAAAAGGUUUUUAAGAGCUUUAAUGUCACCGACAGAGAUUUAGAUGAUUUUUUUGGUGGACCAGCUUUCCUUGCCUGGGCUAGAAUGGGGAACCUGCAUGCAUGGGGUGGGCCACUUUCACAAAAUUGGUUAGAUCAACAAUUGGCACUGCAGAAGAAAAUAUUGUCUCGUAUGAUUGAGCUUGGAAUGGUCCCAGUUCUGCCAUCAUUCUCAGGAAAUGUACCAGUCGCGUUUAAAAAAUUGUUUCCAUCUGCCAGCAUAACCAGACUCGGUGAAUGGAACACAGUUGAUGGUAAUCCUAGGUGGUGCUGCACUUAUAUUCUUGAUCCUUCGGAUGCAUUGUUUAUUGAUGUGGGACAGGCUUUUAUCAAGCAACAAAUGAAAGAAUAUGGUGACAUCACCAGCAUCUAUAAUUGUGACACAUUCAAUGAGAAUACACCACCGACAAAUGAACCGGCAUAUAUUUCAUCGCUUGGUUCUGCUAUCUAUCAAGCAAUGUCGAGAGGUAACAAGGAUGCAGUGUGGUUAAUGCAGCUCCUUUGCUUUGUUCAGGGUUGGCUAUUUUACUCGGAUGCAGCUUUCUGGAAGGAGUCUCAGAUGAAAGCACUACUUCAUUCUGUUCCAAUUGGUAAGAUGAUGGUCCUUGAUUUAUUUGCUGAUGUCAAGCCCAUAUGGCAAACGUCCUCCCAGUUCUAUGGUGUACCAUACAUCUGGUGCAUGCUACACAACUUUGGUGGUAAUAUUGAAAUGUAUGGAGUACUAGAUUCAAUUUCAUCUGGCCCUAUUGAUGCACGUACAAGCUACAAUUCAACAAUGGUUGGUGUUGGCAUGUGCAUGGAGGGAAUAGAACAUAAUCCAGUUGUUUAUGAGCUUAUGUCUGAAAUGGCAUUCCGUAGUCAAAAGGUCGAAGUUGAGGAUUGGUUAAAAUCGUACUCCUAUAGGCGAUAUGGCCAAUCAAAUGUCGAAAUACAGAAAGCUUGGGCAAUCCUGUACCAUACGAUAUACAAUUGCACAGAUGGAAUUGCGGAUCAUAAUAGAGACUACAUAGUUGAAUUUCCAGACAUCAGUCCAAGUUCUUUCAGUUCCCAGUAUUCCAAACGAAGAAGUAUCUCAGUUGUGAGGAAACAUCCGAGGUUCUUAGGCGAGGUCUCUGCAAGCCUACCACAACCACAUCUAUGGUAUUCUACGGAGGAGGCCGUCAAAUCCCUUGAACUAUUUCUUAAAGCAGGAGAUGAUCUUUCAGAAAGUCUCACAUAUAGGUACGACCUUGUUGAUUUGGCAAGGCAGUCACUGUCAAAAUUAGCAAAUAAAGUGUACCUUGAUGCUAUGGGUUCUUACCAAAUGAGGGAUUCAAGUGGUUUAAACUUUCACACAAAGAAAUUCCUCGAACUCAUCAUGGAUAUCGAGACGCUACUAGCUUCUGAUGAUAACUUCCUGCUGGGCCCUUGGUUAGAAACUGCAAAAAGCCUUGCUACGGCUGAAGACGAAAGGAAGCAGUACGAGUGGAAUGCUAGAACACAGGUGACAAUGUGGUACGACGACACAAAGAUCGAGCAGAGCAAACUCCAUGACUACGCCAAUAAAUUCUGGAGUGGGCUUCUGAAGAGCUACUACCUUCCAAGGGCAUCUAAAUACUUCACUCGGUUAUCGAGAAGCCUCCAAGAGAACCGGAGCUUUCAACUGGAGGAAUGGAGGCGAGAUUGGAUCUCCUACUCUAACGAAUGGCAGUCCGGGAAGGAGCUGUACCCUGUGAAAGCCACGGGUGAUGCUUUGGCGAUCUCCAGGUCUCUCUUUGCAAAGUACUUCAGGUAA
Molecule: ribosomal RNA, 2439 nt
Filed under: Triticum aestivum (bread wheat)
Lineage: Eukaryota; Viridiplantae; Streptophyta; Magnoliopsida; Poales; Poaceae
Description: partial small subunit ribosomal RNA
Source: RNAcentral